Molecule: ribosomal RNA, 249 nt
Filed under: uncultured bacterium
Lineage: Bacteria
Description: partial 16S ribosomal RNA
Rfam family: Bacterial small subunit ribosomal RNA
Source: RNAcentral
UACGAAGGGGGCUAGCGUUGCUCGGAAUUACUGGGCGUAAAGCGCACGUAGGCGGCUUCUUAAGUCGGUGGUGAAAUCCUGGAGCUCAACUCCAGAACUGCCUUCGAUACUGGGAAGCUCGAGUCCGGGAGAGGUGAGUGGGAACUGCGAGCGUAGAGGUGAAAUUCGUAGAUAUUCGCAAGAACACCAGUGGCGAAGGCGGCUCACUGGCCCGGUACUGACGCUGAGGUGCGAAAGCGUGGGGAGCAA